ACAAAUGCUAGCCCACGCAAAUAUAAACUCAACUAACAACAUAAAAUAAAACAAAACAUUUACCCUAACUAGAGUAUAGGAGAUAGAAAUUUUGACCUGGCGCUAUAGAAAAAGUACCGCAAGGGAACGAUGAAAGACAGAUUAAAAGUAAAAAACAGCAAAGCUUACCUCUUGUACCUUUUGCAUAAUGAUUUAACUAGAAUCACUCGACGAAGAGAACUUAAGCCGAACAACCCGAAACCAGACGAGCUACCUAAGAGCAGCAAAAGAGCCAACUCGUCUAUGUAGCAAAAUAGUGAGAAGACUUUUAGGUAGUGGUGAAAAGCCUACCGAGCCUGGUGAUAGCUGGUUGUCCAGGAUAGAAUAUUAGUUCAACUUUAAGCCAUGCCUAAAAAAACCACAAUUCAAAUGCAGACUUAAAAUAUAAUCUAAGAGGGUACAGCCUCUUAGAAACAGAAUACAACCUUGACUAGAGGGUAAGCACCACAAAAAUUCAUAGUUGGCCUAAAAGCAGCCACCAAUUAAGAAAGCGUUCAAGCUCAACAACCAAACCAAACUUUAAUCCAAAAACUAUUAUGCGAACCCCUAGCCCGACCACUGGACUACUCUAUUACAAAAUAGAGGGAAUACUGUUAAUAUGAGUAACAAGAACUAGCUUCUCCCUGCACAAGCUUAUAUCAGAACGGAUAAUCCACUGAUAGUUAACAACAUAAUAAAUCCAACACCACAAGUAAAAAAUUUAUUGAAUCAACUGUUAACCCAACACAGGAGUGCACUUAAGGGAAAGAUUAAAAGAAGUAAAAGGAACUCGGCAAACACAAACCCCGCCUGUUUACCAAAAACAUCACCUCUAGCAUAACAACUAUUAGAGGCACUGCCUGCCCAGUGACGUCUGUUAAACGGCCGCGGUAUCCUGACCGUGCAAAGGUAGCAUAAUCAUUUGUUCUCUAAAUAGGGACUUGUAUGAACGGCCACACGAGGGUUUUACUGUCUCUUACUUCCAAUCGGUGAAAUUGACCCUCCCGUGAAGAGGCGGGAAUACACAAAUAAGACGAGAAGACCCUAUGGAGCUUUAAUUAAUUAGUCCAAUAAAUAAGCAACCCACACUCCUAAGGGAGACAAGAAACUUUUUAAUGGACCAACAAUUUAGGUUGGGGUGACCUCGGAAUAUAAAACAACUUCCGAGAGACAAAAACUUAGACCAACAAGUCAACGGAUACAGUCAUUUAUUGAUCCAAAAAAAUUGAUCAACGGAACAAGUUACCCUAGGGAUAACAGCGCAAUCCUAUUUGAGAGUCCAUAUCGAUAAUAGGGUUUACGACCUCGAUGUUGGAUCAGGACAUCCCAAUGGUGCAGCCGCUAUUAAUGGUUCGUUUGUUCAACGAUUAAAGUCCUACGUGAUCUGAGUUCAGACCGGAGUAAUCCAGGUCGGUUUCUAUCUAUUCUGUGUUUCUCCCAGUACGAAAGGAUAAGAGAAACAGGGCCUACUUAACAUGAGCGCCCUCAAAGCCAAUAGAUGACACAAUCUUAAUCUAAUAGCAACAACACAACUAAACCCCAAAACAGGGUACA
Molecule: ribosomal RNA, 1572 nt
Filed under: Pteropus dasymallus (Ryukyu flying fox)
Lineage: Eukaryota; Metazoa; Chordata; Mammalia; Chiroptera; Pteropodidae
Description: 16S ribosomal RNA
Rfam family: Bacterial large subunit ribosomal RNA
Source: RNAcentral